This 73-nucleotide transfer RNA is filed under the name Camelus bactrianus (Bactrian camel). It matches the Rfam family "tRNA". Rfam says of the family: Transfer RNA (tRNA) molecules are approximately 80 nucleotides in length. Their secondary structure includes four short double-helical elements and three loops (D, anti-codon, and T loops). Further hydrogen bonds mediate the characteristic L-shaped molecular structure. tRNAs have two regions of fundamental functional importance: the anti-codon, which is responsible for specific mRNA codon recognition, and the 3' end, to which the tRNAs corresponding amino acid is attached (by aminoacyl-tRNA synthetases). tRNAs cope with the degeneracy of the genetic code in two manners: having more than one tRNA (with a specific anti-codon) for a particular amino acid; and 'wobble' base-pairing, i.e. permitting non-standard base-pairing at the 3rd anti-codon position. Lineage: Eukaryota; Metazoa; Chordata; Mammalia; Artiodactyla; Camelidae. The record is from Rfam by way of RNAcentral. RNAcentral also lists the same sequence under 2 other names.
GAGGGUACAGCUCAAGUGGUAGAGUACAUGCUUUACACGCAUGAGGUCCUGUGUUUAAUCCCCAGUACCUCCU